Molecule: ribosomal RNA, 418 nt
Filed under: uncultured eukaryote
Lineage: Eukaryota
Description: SSU rRNA
Rfam family: Eukaryotic small subunit ribosomal RNA
Source: RNAcentral
CAAUAGCGUAUAUUUUAGUUGUUGCAGUUAAAAGCUCGUAGUUGAAUUUCUGGUGGGAAGAUGCGGACGGCCUCAUGGCUUGUUCCAAGUCUUCCGGCCAUCCUUGGGUGGAGCUCGUCUGGCAUUAAGUUGUCGGGCGGGGGAUGCCCAUCGUUUACUGUGAAAAAUUAAAGUGUUCAAAGCAGACUUAUGUCGUUGAAUAUAUUAGCAUGGAAUAAUAAGAUAGGACAGCAGUGCUAUUUUGUUGGUUUGCGCACCGUUGUAAUGAUGAAUAGGGACAGUUGUGGGUAUUUAUAUUCACUUGUAAGAGGUGAAAUUCUUAGAUUAAGGGAAGAUAAACUACUGCGAAAGCAUUUACCAAGGAUGUUUUCAUUAAUCAAGAACGAAAGUGUGGGGAUCGAAGAUGAUUAGAUACCGU